ACGGGGUGCAGCAGGCGCGAAACCUCCGCAAUACACGAAAGUGUGACGGGGUUACCCAAAGUGUUCUAUUUAGAACUGUGGUAGGUGAGUAAUGUCCCCUACUAGAAAGGAGAGGGCAAGGCUGGUGCCAGCCGCCGCGGUAAAACCAGCUCUUCAAGUGGUCGGGAUAAUUAUUGGGCUUAAAGUGUCCGUAGCCGGUUUAGUAAGUUCCUGGUAAAAUCGGGUAGCUUAACUAUCUAUAUGCUAGGAAUACUGCUAUACUAGAGGGCGGGAGAGGUCUGAGGUACUACAGGGGUAGGGGUGAAAUCUUAUAAUCCUUGUAGGACCACCAGUGGCGAAGGCGUCAGACUGGAACGCGCCUGACGGUGAGGGACGAAAGCCAGGGGAGCGAACCGGAUUAGAUACCCGGGUAGUCCUGGCCGUAAACGAUGCAUACUAGGUGAUGGCACGGCCAUGAGCCGUGUCAGUGCCGUAGGGAAACCGUUAAGUGUGCCGCCUGGGAAGUACGGUCGCAAGGCUAAAACUUAAAGGAAUUGGCGGGGGAGCACCACAAGGGGUGAAGCCUGCGGUUCAAUUGGACUCAACGCCGGAAAACUUACCAGGGGAGACAGCAGUAUGACGGUCAGGUUGACGACCUUACCUAACGAGCUGAGAGGAGGUGCAUGGCCGUCGCCAGUUCAUGCCGUGAGGUAUCCUGUUAAGUCAGGCAACGAACGAGAUCCGCACCUUUAUUUGCCACCAAGAAGUCACGACUUCGUUGGGAACACUAAAGGGAC
RNAcentral lists this ribosomal RNA (776 nucleotides) under uncultured archaeon. RNAcentral describes it as "bacterial SSU rRNA". It matches the Rfam family "Archaeal small subunit ribosomal RNA", at positions 325 to 1105 of the family's 1478-position model. The record is from RNAcentral.